RNAcentral lists this unclassified non-coding RNA (329 nucleotides) under soil metagenome. RNAcentral's name for it is "partial contains 5.8S ribosomal RNA, internal transcribed spacer 2, and large subunit ribosomal RNA". The stretch from base 1 to 120 matches the Rfam family "5.8S ribosomal RNA", at positions 35 to 154 of the family's 154-position model. The record is from RNAcentral.
GAUGAAGAACGCAGCGAAAUGCGAUAAGUAGUGUGAAUUGCAGAAUUCAGUGAAUCAUCGAAUCUUUGAACGCACAUUGCGCCCCUUGGUAUUCCAUGGGGCAUGCCUGUCCGAGCGUCAUUACAACCCUCAAGCUCAGCUUGGUGUUGGGCCCCGCCGCCCCGGCGGGCCCUAAAGUCAGUGGCGGUGCCGUCCGGCUCCGAGCGUAGUAAUUCUUCUCGCUCUGGAGGUCCGGUCGUGUGCUCGCCAGCAACCCCCAAUUUUUUUCAGGUUGACCUCGGAUCAGGUAGGGAUACCCGCUGAACUUAAGCAUAUCAAUAAGCGGAGGA